GGAUGAGUGACCGAGUGGUUGAAGGUGCCAGUCUUGAAAACUGGUGUAUUGUAAAAUACCGGGGGUUCGAAUCCCUCCUUAUCCG
RNAcentral lists this transfer RNA (85 nucleotides) under Trachydiscus minutus. Its description in RNAcentral is "tRNA-Ser". It matches the Rfam family "tRNA". From Rfam's summary of the family: Transfer RNA (tRNA) molecules are approximately 80 nucleotides in length. Their secondary structure includes four short double-helical elements and three loops (D, anti-codon, and T loops). Further hydrogen bonds mediate the characteristic L-shaped molecular structure. tRNAs have two regions of fundamental functional importance: the anti-codon, which is responsible for specific mRNA codon recognition, and the 3' end, to which the tRNAs corresponding amino acid is attached (by aminoacyl-tRNA synthetases). tRNAs cope with the degeneracy of the genetic code in two manners: having more than one tRNA (with a specific anti-codon) for a particular amino acid; and 'wobble' base-pairing, i.e. permitting non-standard base-pairing at the 3rd anti-codon position. Lineage: Eukaryota; Eustigmatophyceae; Goniochloridales; Goniochloridaceae. The record is from RNAcentral.